RNAcentral lists this transfer RNA (68 nucleotides) under Marmota monax (woodchuck). RNAcentral's name for it is "tRNA.Ala". The record is from RNAcentral. Lineage: Eukaryota; Metazoa; Chordata; Mammalia; Rodentia; Sciuridae.
GGAUUGUGGCUCAGCGGUAGAGUGCUCGCCUAGCACAUGCGAGGCCCUGGGUUCGAUCCUCAGCACCA